GCCUGGCACAGUGGCGUGUGCCUGUAGUCCUAGCUUCUCAGGAGGCUGAGGCUGGAGGAUCGCUUGAGUUCAGAAGUUCUGGGCUGUAGUGUGCUAUGCCAAUUGGGUGUCCACACUAAGUUUGGCAUCAAUAUGGUGACCUACUGGGAGUAGGAGACCACCAGGUUGCCUGAGGAGGGGUGAACCGGCCCAGGUUGGAAACGGAGCAGGUCAAAACUUCUGUACUGAUCAGUAGUGGGAUUGGAGUGCCUGUGAAUAGCCACUGCACUCUAGCCUGGGCAAUGUAGCGAGACCCAGUCCCU
RNAcentral lists this signal recognition particle RNA (302 nucleotides) under Saimiri boliviensis boliviensis (Bolivian squirrel monkey). RNAcentral describes it as "Metazoan signal recognition particle RNA (ENSSBOG00000016155.1)". It matches the Rfam family "Metazoan signal recognition particle RNA". Rfam says of the family: The signal recognition particle (SRP) is a universally conserved ribonucleoprotein. It is involved in the co-translational targeting of proteins to membranes. The record is from RNAcentral. Lineage: Eukaryota; Metazoa; Chordata; Mammalia; Primates; Cebidae.